CACGUAAGUUAAAUUCUUGCAUUUGGUGAGAGUUUUAGAACCUACAUAAUAACUCGGGAAAUGUGCAUCAGAUAUUAUCUAGAUACUUUAGGGAGGAACUAAAAAUUCUGUGAUGGCCUCAUAGCUGAUUUACUGUUUAAAUCGUUACCAUUUUUCCUGGCCCAGCUGCUACCUUUUUCAUUACAUGUACAAUCUAAUUCUUAAUUCCAGCUUUUGUGGCUCAGGGGAGGCCUAGGAAACUACAGCUUUUCUUCAAACAAUAAGCAGUCUAAGAGUGAUCUGCCUAUGUUGUCCUCUAGGAAUUUUAUAGUAUCUGGGCUUACAUUUAGGUUUUUAAUGCAUUUUUGUUUUGUUUUUUAUAUUCUACUUUAUUUUUUGGUCUCAUUUUGAGUUUAUUUUUAUAUGGUAUCAGAGAAUGUUCUAAUCUCAUUCUUUUACAUGUAGCUGUCUAGUUUUCCCAGAACCACUUAUUGAAGAGAUUACCUUUCCUCCACUGUUUCUUAUUGCCUCCUUUGUUAUAAAUUAGUUGACUGACCAUAGGUGCUUGGGUUUAUUUCUGGGCUUUCUAUCCUCUUCCAUUGAUCUAUAUUUCUGUUUUUAUGCUAGUACCACAUUGUUUUGAUAACUGUAGGUUUGUAAUAUUUUCUGAAGUCAGGGAGCCUGAUUCCUCCAGCUCCGUUUUUCUUUUUUUCAAUAUUACUUUGGCUAUUUGGGGUCUUUCAUUUCUGAUACAAAUGUUAAAAUAUUUUGUUCUAGUUCUGUGAAGAAUAUCAUUGGUAAUUUGAUAGGAUUGCACUGAAUCUGUAGAUUGCCUGAGGCACUAUAUUCAUUUUGACAGUAUUGAUUCUUCCAAUCCAAGAGUAUGGUAUAUCUUUCCAUCUGUUGGUGUCAUCUUUGAUUUAUUUCAUCAGCAUCUUAUAGUUUUCAGAGUACAGAUCUUUUGUCUCUUUAGAUAGAUUUUAUUCCUAGGUAUUUUAUUCUUUUUGGUGUGAUGGUAAACGGUAUGGUUUCAUUAAUUUCUCUUUCUGAUCUUUCAUUGUUAGCAUAUGGAAAUGCAAUCAAUUCUGUGUAUUAAUUUUGUAUCUUGCAACUUUACCAAAUUCAUUGAUUAGCUCUAACAGUUUUCUCAAAGUAUCUUUAAAAUUUUCUAGGUAUAAUAUUAUGUCAUCUGCAAACAGCGAUAGUUGUACUUUUUUUCCCCAAUUUCGAUUUCUUUUAUUUCUUUGUCUUCUGUGAUUGCUGUGCCUAGGACUUCCACAAUUAUGUUGAAUAACAGUGGUGAAAGUGGACAUCCUUGUCUUGUUUCCAAUCUUAGCAGAAAUGAUUUCAGUUUUUCACCAUUGGAAAUGAUGUUAGCUGUGUGUUUGUCAUAUACGGCUUUUAUCAUGUUAAAAUAGGUUCCUCUAUGCCCACUCUCUGGAGAGUUUUUUUUUUUUACACAUCAGGAAUGGGUGAUAAAUUUUGUCAAAAGCUUUUUUGGCAUCUAUUGAGAUGAUCUGCUGAGACCAGCUCAGCAGAUGAGGGCUGAAGAACAGGUGCUGUGAAACUUAAGAAAAAGUUAACAUAAAAGACACAGAGACAUUUAUCUUAAUUAAAGGUGGGAACCAGGGACUCAAGGUCUCAGGGAACAAGAGCACCACCUCAAGAAACCACACUGCUUUUAUUGUGCUCUUUAGGAUUACAUCAAGUGAGGAGGGACCUAUAGGUGCAGGAUAUAAUUUUUUAAAUUGUUAUUUUAAAAGUCACAUAGCUGGUAGCUGGUUAAGCUUUUACUCUGACCUUUAGGCAUUUAAAAAUCAUUAGCAUUGAGGAAGCUUGGCAUCAGCUAUCUAUGCACAGCAUCUAGAGAAUCAUCAUUGUGCUUCUGCAGACGGAGUGCCUAUCUGCAGCAACCCUGCCUGUGUCUAGGUUUGUACAUCAUUCUCUUUGCUGAUGCGUAUCUUGUUAAAGACCCCUCAUAAACCCCUUGGGGUCAUGAGGAUCAUCUUCCUCUUAUUCUUAAGAGGACAUAUCAUGCUGUGGAAACAGCUGUGCCUAUCUGCACAGGCCCGUCAUGCCUAGACCAAUGCAUUAUGUCCUUGUUCAGCUGACCACAUGAAAACUUUAGGUCUUUAUGCCUUUAGGUCUUUGAUUUUAAGCUUAAGUUAUUUACCAGCAUUGUGACUAUUUUUCAAGCAGUGUACAGUGUGUACACUGUGUCUGAUACAAUGUAUAUACAUGUAUCAUUGUAGCACUGUUCACAAUAGCCAAGACAUGGAAACAACCCAAAUUUCCAUCAAUAGAUGAAUGGAUUAAGUGUUACAUAUAUGUAUGGUAGAAUGCUAUUCAGCCUUUAAAAGGAACAAAUAAUGCCAUUUGCAGCAACAUGGAUGGAACUAGAGAUUUUCAUACUAAGUGAAGUUAAGUCAGAAAGAGAAGAACAUAUACCAUAUGACAUCACUUACAUGUGGAAUAUAAAAUAUGGCACAAAUGAUCCUACCUACAAAAUAGAAACAGAUCAUGGACGUGGAGAGCAGACUUGUGUUUGCCAGAGAGGAGAGGGGAGAGAAAGAGGAUGAACAGGGAGUCUGGGGUUGGUAGAAGCAAACUAUUACCUUUAGAGUGCAUAAGUAAUAGGGUUAUGCUGUACAGCAUAGGGAACUGUGUUCAGUCUCUUGGGUUAGAACAUGAUGGAAGAUGGAAUGAAAAAAAAGAAUGUAUGUGUAUGAGUGCCUGGGUCACUUUGCUGUAUAGCAGAAUUUGAAGGAAUGUUGUAAAUCAAAUGAAAUAAAAAUUAAAAAAAAUAAAUUACUUUCUGGUGAUCACACACACAAUAAGAGGCAGGCAGAGGAGGUGGGGGAAAGUUUCUCUUCUGGGAAGAUCUCAUAGGGUGCUGCUCGGUUAUAUUGUUAGAAUUAGAAAAAAGUAAAAAAUCAAAAUAUUAACUGGUUAUCUGUGUUGUAAACAUUCUAUUUUGUUGUUGUUGUUUACCUCUAAUUACUGGUUGUUUUGUUGUUGUUUUUCUUCUUCAAAAGUAAAGCACUUUACUUAUGUAAGAAGUAUAAUACUGGAGUGCCCAUUGUGGCUCAUUGGGUUAAGAACCUGAUUCGUAUCCAUGAGGAUUUGGGUUUGACUCCUGACCUCACUCAGUGGAUUAAGGAUCUGGCUUUGCCACAUGCUGUACCAUAGGUUGUGGUUGUGGCUCAGAUCCUGCAUUGCUAUGGCUGUGCCAUAGGCUGGCAGCUGCAGCUCUGAUUCAACAAGGAAUUUCCAUAUACCACAGGUGUAGCCCUUAAAAAAAAAGAAUUCAAGUUUCCGAUUUAUAUGAAAUUACUGAAAUAUAUUCUGGAGAAACAUCAUACAAAUAUAUAACUACUUAAUACAUACUAUAGAAAUAUAAGAAAUGUUUUUUCAUUUUUUAAAGUUUAGUUGAAGCAUAGUUGGUUUACAAUGUUUAGAUAAUUUCUGCUGUACAACAAAGUGAUUCGGUUAUAUAUGUACACACAUCCAUUCUCUUUCAGAUUCUUUCCCACAUGGAUUAUCACAGAAUACUGGGUAGAGUUCCCCAUGCUAUACAGCAUGUCCCCAUGUGCCAGUCAUUCCAUUCCAUUCCUCAGUGUGCAUGUGUCAAUCACAAACCCCCAGUCCAUCCCUCCUCCCACCUGUCCCCUUCAGUAACCAUAGGUUUGUUUUCAAAGUCUUUGAAUCUCUUUCUGUUAUGCAAAUAAGUUCAUUUAUAUCCUUUUUAAAGAAAUAUUAAAACUUCAUGAAAAUUUCAGGUUGAAAUUAUCUUCAAAGUAUUAGUUGCACUUCUAUAAUGAAGGUUACAGUGCCAUUUAUAAUAGGUAAACAUACCUCCACCAAUAAGGAAAAAUUCCUUUCAGAAAUAAAUAUCAAGUUUAAUUCUGUCAUUUACAACUUAUUGUGUAUAACCUGUUGUCUAUACAUAAGCAGCAAAAGGUAAUUAUUCCCUGUUAAAGAAUAUAUCCUUCAUCUAUAAAUGCUAUAAUUAGAAAUGUUAAACUUCAAGGAUAAUUAUAUGAAUGAUGCUAUAUUUAAAUUUAAAGUAUAGGAAAAGGGAAUUUAUGGUUAUAGAGCAACCUGACCAAUUCAUCACAAUCUUAAGAAUUUUACAUAUGAUUUAUAUUAAUUUAAAUGUGUAUGUUUGAUCCAUGCAUUCGUUAAUAAUGCUUUUGAAAACCAAAUAUCAGUGAUUUUCAGAGAUUUCGUCCAACAAUGGGAAUACAAUUAUCCACCGUCCUUUGAAUGCAGUGAGAAUAGGAGCAAAUGAGGUUUGCCAAGUAUGCUGAUAGCUUAGCUUGUUUUAUUUAAUGAAAUCUGAAGCUCUUUAUAUAACAAUGUAAUCUGCAAAAUAAAUAUAGAUAAUGUAUACAAAUUAUCUGUUGUAACUGAAUUCACGAGCUCUGUUUUAAUAUAAUGUACCACAAUGAGAAUAAUUAUUUGAAUUGAUUUAAAUUUAUAUUGUUAACAUAUUCAAUUAUUUGCUAUUGAAUCACAAUGCAUACUAUUAACUAAAAGAAUCUCUUCUUCAUGAGAUAUUUCAAUUUGCUUCUUUACUUAAAAAAAAGAAGCAAAGGAAAAAUUAUCUCACAGAAAGAGUACGGUGUAAGCUAUUUUACUAGUAAAUACUUCACAGGAUUCAUCACACAGUAGAUUAGGAGAGAAAGAUACAACAGUGCAAUGUAAUAUCAGUGAGCGAGUAGGGGUGAUGCUCCAACCAAUUACAAAAUGUAUGAUAGGAAAAAAAUGAGUCAGAGGAUAAAAUAAACAAGAAAUAAUUUAGAGUUAAAAAUUAAUUUGGACCCAAUUAGAGAAGCCAAAGCAAACAAACAAAAAUUUUUUGUCCUAGGAGAAAGAAACAGAUUCACAGUGUUCAGCCUAUUUUCCAAGAGACUCCUAAUGCUGAGGAAUCUUUCAUUUAUCUGUAAGUGGAAUGUUUAUACAGAAUGUGUAUAGUUUCCCAAGUGUUUUCCUUCUUAACAGCCUCCAAGACCCCUCAACUCUAAUUAAACAACUUCUUCAAGCUUAACUAUUAGAUAUCUAAGAGAAAAAAGAGAGAAGUCCAAGAAUGACUUAAAUAGAGAAGACCCAUCUCCCAACUACAGAUAGGUGCCUAAAAGUAAGAUGGAGACAAAGGACAGGGAAUGAUCAGCUUUAAGAGAAAUUGAGGAGGUGAUAGAAGUCUUUUCUAGACAGUAAAAUAUGGUAAGUAAAAUAUGAUAAGCUUGGAAUAAAAUGGAAAGUAUAUUUGUAUGUACUUAUAGAUGUGGCUGCAGAUCAAAUUAAAUGAUUGAAAUGAUAUAUACUGACAUCCAGUUGAUAAACACUGAUUAAAUAUCCUCCUUGUUGAAACACACUCUACGGAUGUUGAGUGUAGGUAUCAAUAAAGUAAUUAGGUUUCUACUCUGAUUUUACAAUGUAGCAGAUGACAUGCUUAAAAAGAGCAAAUAAUUUAAAAGUCAUGAGUAACAAAUGGCAUAAAUGAGAAAUUGAUGGUGUGGGAUUAUGUUAUGAGGAGAUCUAACCUAUUCUGGUUGGGAGGGUCACAAACAAAGUCCUUCAUAACUGAGAUUUCAUCUGAAGUCUACAUGGUAAAGAGGUAAAAAGCAGAAUUUUCAGUGUGGGAUUCUACCAGUGACUGAGUAUGUCUGUUUCAAUCAUGCUUUCUGUAACUGGGAAAGAUGUGUGACAAGUUCAGGGACACUGGACCCGUUGUGAGAUGAAUCUGAGCUAAAACUCCAUUGACCUCCUGACCUCCUUAAGACUGGGGGCCACAUUGAAGAUUUGGGUUUCCUGGAAUUAGUGUGAGUUCAAAGUCAAAGUUCAGCAAUUAUCAAAAUGUCUGACUCUUUUCUGUUCCCCAGUACACCGUCAUCUGGUUAAAGGUCUUAAAUCCUUUUGGGGAAGACUGGAAGAAAGGUGAAGGAUAUACAUUUUUUUGGCAUUGUAUUGGGGUCCUUACUCAAGGGGACUCCAUCCACUCUUUUUUCAAGGAAUUCUGAGUCUGUUAACUUGUUCAAGUUUGGGAAUUGAUUGAGUGGUCUUGAACCUCAGUUUUUAUGGUUCAGGUUAGAUUUUUUUUUUUUUUCACAUUUUCCCUUGCCCUCAUUUGUUUGUCUGGCUUCUCAUUAUUAUCUGCUUCCACAAGUUUUAAAGUUACUAAUGUUCUCUGUUAGAUUUAAUUUUAGUCAUCUUCUAUGAUUCCUUAGCAGCAGUCUAUACAGUGGAACUCUCUUUGCUUCUUAAAACAUCCCAUUUUCACUGAAAACAAAGUAGAUUUUAGCAAAACGUACAUUUUAUUGUAAAAUCCACUGCUUAGAUUCUUUUGAUAGUUAACUAUGCACUUAGGAUAAAAUCCUAAAUUCUUAGAAGUAUCUUCAUGUAGUCAUCUUUAAUUGGAUUUUUUUAGUAGUUGAAAAAAGUAUAUACAUAAAAUAUGGCCCAUUUCAAUAUAACAACCAAUAAAAAUAACAAGGUUUUAAUCUCUAAAAUAGAGUAGAAAUAUUUGAAAUACAUGAAAUUUUAUUUUACAUUAAAGUAAGAAUGUAGAAACAUUAAUCACAAUCUGACAUGGCUCAUUGAGAAUACUUAGUGAAUAAGAAAAGCAGUUUAGAAUAAUGCUAAAGGCAACAAAACCAGAAGAAAACUAAUGCGUGGAGGAUAUCAUAAAGCCAUAGACUCAGAGAAAAGAGAAGCCUUCAGACUUAUGAAUUAGAGGCAGUCACCUCUGGCUCUGUGGGAAAGGGGAAAAGAAUGCCCCUUUCCCACAGAGGGAAAAAUAUUGGGAAUCAAUUCUGAUGCAAAAUUAUGCUGAAUCAGUCCCAAUUGAAAGUUCUCUAAGAAAUCAAGUUUUUUCCUCAUUAAAACCAUUACCACUCCCCAAUCAGGAAUUCCUAUGAAAAUCUUCAAAUAUCUAGCAAUAUAUGCAUAUGGUUAAGAAAUAAUUCAUCAGAGGCUCCUUAUUGAGAAAAAGAAAAU
RNAcentral lists this long non-coding RNA (6978 nucleotides) under Sus scrofa (pig). RNAcentral describes it as "lncRNA (ENSSSCG00000062043.1)". Lineage: Eukaryota; Metazoa; Chordata; Mammalia; Artiodactyla; Suidae. The record is from RNAcentral.